Molecule: long non-coding RNA, 2998 nt
Organism: Heterocephalus glaber (naked mole-rat)
Lineage: Eukaryota; Metazoa; Chordata; Mammalia; Rodentia; Bathyergidae
Source: Ensembl
CCCCGGGGUGGCCGCAGAUGGCCGCCCGGAGGCCAGGCUCUGCUUCGGUCGGAGCGGUGGCCGGUGGCGCCGCGCGGGGCCAGGAGGCGCCGGCCUGUGAUUGGCGGAGGCCGUCGUGAAUGCAGGACAUUGUCUGGUGGCGGCCGUCUCUGUCCCUGCCUGGCCGCCCUUCCCCGGAUGGAAGUGGGUGCGGGGCGAGGGUCCGGGUCGGCGAUCGCCGCCCGCCAGGAGUCCUAGGAAUGUGGGAACGCAGUGGUCUGAAGGGAAUCCCAUUAUGUAGUUCAGGCUGACCUUGAACUCACUAUGUAACCCAGACUGUCCUCUAACCCUAGAGGAUCCUCCUGCCUCAGCCUCCCAAGUACUGGGAUUACAGGGAUGGAACUCGGGUCCUUGUGCUUGCGCAGCAGGCGGCGAAACCACUGAGCUAAAUCCCCGGCCCUGUUUAACUCUUUUGACUAAAGAUAAGUGUUAGGAUUUGAUAUUCUGGGAGGGGAAGGGGUGAAAGGAUUGUAUCCACCCAUCUUUCCCUCCCACCUGCACCUGAAGCUAGCUCUUGCACUCUAUUCUUGGUCAAAAAUGGGAGAUGAAACACUGUCCAGCAUACCCACAGCAGUAUAGAAGAAAGAACAGCAGCUGCCAAACCUGCUUCACCAAGUCACACUGCCACUAGUGGUGACCAGGACCAAGGUUUUAACACUUGAGGAGCCUUGAAUGGCAGGGCUAAAUACAACCACCUUGCCUUGUGUUAGCUAGUGGGUGUGUUUUAACAAGUUCCAUAAGUAAGCUUUUACCAUUUGAUACUUCUCAAAUUCAAAUGCAGAUACCUCUUGACUUAUGGAGUUAUGUCACCAUAACCCCAUGGUAAGAUAAAAAUAUUAAGUUAAAAUUGCAUUCAAUACUCCUAAUCUAGGGCCAGGAUUUAGCUCAGUGGUUCGGCCACCUGCCUUGUAAGCGUAAGGACCUGAGUUCAAUCCCCGGUACCAAAAAAAAAAAAAUACACCUAAUCUAUCAAACAUUGUAACUUGGCCUAACUUUUCUUAAACAUACUCAGAGAACUUACAUCAGUUUACAGUUGGGCAAAAUUAUCUAACACAAACCUAUUUUACAAUAAAAUGUUGAAUAUCUCAUGCAAUUUAUUGAAUAUUGUACUGAAACUGAAAAACAUGGUAGUGUGGGUAGCUUUCACAUGAUCAAAUUGAAAGCUGUAAGUCAGAUCAUCAUAAGUUGGUGACUAUAUGAAAACAUCUUGAAAAUAUAUAAAAAUACUUACAAUAGCAUGCAUGUUUUACUUAUCUCUAUUCUAGUAUUUCUUGGUGCUCAACAGAUGGUCACUUUUCCUUGGCUCUAGCUGGAGUGGUUGCUUGUCUGUCACCCCACAGGCUAGGGUUGGGGAUGGCUUUCACUGCUGCUGGGCUGGGGCUGUUGCACCUUGUUUUUUUUUUUUUGGUACCAGGGAUUGAACUCGGGACCUUGUGCUUGCGAGUCAGGCGGCAAAACCACUGAGCUAAAAGUUGCACCUUGUUGAUUUCCUUAACUCUGCUCACUUCCUUCAAAGUCCAUUUAUACUUCCUAAAUGAACAUGCCUUUCCUUCCCACCUUAGAUGGUACCUGAACAGAUAUGCAUCAAGGUCUAGCCCCUCCAAUUUAAUCUGCAUGCUUUUCCUUCCGCACUCUAGUCUCUGAUACAAAUGAACCCCCUAGAAUCCACCCCCCAACUCUGAACCUUGCAUAUGCUGUUCUAACAAGACUAUUCCAUGAAGACUUCCUAGAUUUCCUUGCAUGUAGGUGUUGUUACUGAGUUUUCCACAUUGUAUCAAUUUUAUUCAUUUAUUUAUUUAUUUUUUGGGGGGUUACUGAGGAUCGAACUCAGAACCUUGCGCUUGUGAGGCAGGUGCCAGAACCACUGAGGUAAAUCCCCGGCCCUAUUUCGGUAUUUUGAAACAAGGUCUCACUAUGUAAUUCAGGGUGGCCUUAAACUUGGGAUAAUCCUCCUGCCUCAGCUUCCUAAGUGUUGAGAUUACAGGCAUGUACCACCUUGCCCAGUUGAUUUUAUUAUUUUUAUACUUUUUUCUUCUUUUGCCACAUUGUACUUGCCGCUUUGCCUUUUCAAAGCUGAAAUUCCUUGAGGCUGAACAUUGUGUCUUAAUGCAAACAGUCAUUCUCCAAGUUAUUUGUUUUGGAAAUAUUACUUCUUCCUGUAUCAGAUUUACCUUAAGGUAAUUCCAGUUCUCAUGGGCUUCCUCAAGAUGUGGAUGGCAUAAAGGACACAGAUACCAAGAAGAGCUCACCAUCAUGGCUUUCCUCACGAUAGGCUGCCCUGCUUUCUCCAGAUGAGAAGAACCUGGAAUCUAACUCCAGAAGGAGAGAUGAGCAACCCAGAACCUGCUAAUGCUUAAUUGGUGAGCCACCUUUGGAAGCAGGCUACCCAGAAACAGAAGGAGGAUCACCUUGAGUUCGAGGCCAGCCUGGGCUACAUAGUGAGUUCGAGGCCAGCCUGGACUACAUACAUAGCAAGACCCUGUCUCAAAAAGACCAAAUAAAUAAUAAAUGAAUAAAUAAAUGUCUGAAUUGGAAUUCAAAAAGAAAAGAAGAAAAGUAAUUCCGUGUUGUCCCCUAAGACAUUAUAAGAUUUAACUGAAAAGAAUCAGUUGACUGUCUUUUUCUUUUUUUCUAUGAAUAGAACAGUAAGGACAAAGAUGAACAGUAGUAUUUUUCUUCUGUGCAGUUCCCUUCCAUGUUUUGGGCAGUAGAGAAAGGGAGAGGCAAAUUUCUCCCCAGUCCCUCGUUUCUCUCCCUCUAGCAGGGUGUUUUCUGUAAUUGGCUUUCCACAUUUGCCAAGAGUCUGUUUCCUCUUAACAUCCAACAUGCUUAACAGAAGCCUUGUAAUAGUUCCAAAAAUGAUAAAACCAGACCCAAGAAUAAAAUGAUACACACGACACAUUUGUUUUGGCCAUAGCUUUGGUUAAGUUCUUUUAAAUAAUUUAGGGUUAAAUGUGGU